GGCUCAACCAANGUAUGCUUUGGAAACUGUUAGACUUGAGUGCAGAAGGGGAGAGUGGAAUUCCAUGNGUAGCGGUGAAAUGCGUAGAUAUAUGGAGGAACNCCGGUGGCGAAAGCGGCUCUCUGGUCUGUCACUGACGCUGAGGCUCGAAAGCGUGGGUAGCGANCAGGAUUAGAUACCCUGGUAGUCCACGCCGUAAACGCUGAGUGCUAGGUGUUAGNUCCUUUCCGGGACUUAGUGCCGACGCUAACGCAUUAAGCACUCCGCCUGGGGAGUACGACCGCAAGGUUGAAACUCAAAGGAAUUGACGGGGGCCCGCACAAGCGGUGGAGCAUGUGGUUUAAUUCGAAGCAACGCGAAGAACCUUACCAGGUCUUGACAUCCCGAUGCCCGCUCUAGAGAUAGAGUUUUACUUUUUGUACAUCGGAGACAGGUGGUGCAUGGUNGUCGUCAGCUCGUGUCGUGAGAUGUUGGGUUAANNNNNNNNACGAGCGCAACCCUUAUUGUUAGUUGCCAUCAUUAAGUUGGGCACUCUAGCGGGACUGCCGGUAAUAAACCGGAGGAAGGUGGGGAUGACGUCAAAUCAUCAUGCCCCUUAUGACCUGGGCUACACACGUGCUACAAUGGUUGGUACAACGAGUCGCAAGCCGGUGACGGCAAGCUAAUCUCUGAAAGCCAAUCUCAGUUCGGAUUGUAGGCUGCAACUCGCCUACAUGAAGUCGGAAUCGCUAGUAAUCGCGGAUCAGCACGCCGCGGUGAAUACGUUCCCGGGCCUUGU
RNAcentral lists this ribosomal RNA (778 nucleotides) under uncultured bacterium. RNAcentral's name for it is "bacterial SSU rRNA". It matches the Rfam family "Bacterial small subunit ribosomal RNA", at positions 606 to 1384 of the family's 1533-position model. The record is from RNAcentral.